RNAcentral lists this ribosomal RNA (539 nucleotides) under uncultured bacterium. RNAcentral describes it as "bacterial SSU rRNA". It matches the Rfam family "Bacterial small subunit ribosomal RNA", at positions 356 to 896 of the family's 1533-position model. The record is from RNAcentral.
GAGGAAUAUUGGUCAAUGGACGGAAGUCUGAACCAGCCAAGUAGCGUGCAGGAAGACGGCCCUAUGGGUUGUAAACUGCUUUUAUACGAGAAUAAUUUGAUGCACGUGUGCGUUAUUGCAUGUAUCGUAUGAAUAAGGACCGGCUAAUUCCGUGCCAGCAGCCGCGGUAAUACGGAAGGUCCAGGCGUUAUCCGGAUUUAUUGGGUUUAAAGGGAGUGUAGGCGGUUUGUUAAGCGUGUUGUGAAAUUUAGGUGCUCAACAUUUAACUUGCAGCGCGAACUGUCAGACUUGAGUACACGCAACGUAUGCGGAAUUCAUGGUGUAGCGGUGAAAUGCUUAGAUAUCAUGAAGAACUCCGAUUGCGAAGGCAGCAUACGGGAGUGUAACUGACGCUUAAGCUCGAAGGUGCGGGUAUCGAACAGGAUUAGAUACCCUGGUAGUCCGCACAGUAAACGAUGGAUGCCCGCUGUUAGCGCCUGGCGUUAGCGGCUAAGCGAAAGCAUUAAGCAUCCCACCUGGGGAGUACGCCGGCAACGGUG